RNAcentral lists this ribosomal RNA (2928 nucleotides) under Salmonella enterica. RNAcentral's name for it is "23S ribosomal RNA". It matches the Rfam family "Bacterial large subunit ribosomal RNA". The record is from RNAcentral. Lineage: Bacteria; Pseudomonadati; Pseudomonadota; Gammaproteobacteria; Enterobacterales; Enterobacteriaceae.
GGGUUGUGAGGUUAAGCGACUAAGCGUACACGGUGGAUGCCCUGGCAGUCAGAGGCGAUGAAGGACGUGCUAAUCUGCGAUAAGCGCCGGUAAGGUGAUAUGAACCGUUAUAACCGGCGAUUUCCGAAUGGGGAAACCCAGUGUGACUCGUCACACUAUCAUUAACUGAAUCCAUAGGUUAAUGAGGCGAACCGGGGGAACUGAAACAUCUAAGUACCCCGAGGAAAAGAAAUCAACCGAGAUUCCCCCAGUAGCGGCGAGCGAACGGGGAGGAGCCCAGAGCCUGAAUCAGCAUAUGUGUUAGUGGAAGCGUCUGGAAAGGCGCGCGAUACAGGGUGACAGCCCCGUACACAAAAGCGCAUGUGCUGUGAGCUCGAUGAGUAGGGCGGGACACGUGGUAUCCUGUCUGAAUAUGGGGGGACCAUCCUCCAAGGCUAAAUACUCCUGACUGACCGAUAGUGAACCAGUACCGUGAGGGAAAGGCGAAAAGAACCCCGGCGAGGGGAGUGAAAAAGAACCUGAAACCGUGUACGUACAAGCAGUGGGAGCACAGGUUUACCUGUGUGACUGCGUACCUUUUGUAUAAUGGGUCAGCGACUUAUAUUCUGUAGCAAGGUUAACCGAAUAGGGGAGCCGGAGGGAAACCGAGUCUUAAUUGGGCGUUAAGUUGCAGGGUAUAGACCCGAAACCCGGUGAUCUAGCCAUGGGCAGGUUGAAGGUUGGGUAACACUAACUGGAGGACCGAACCGACUAAUGUUGAAAAAUUAGCGGAUGACCUGUGGCUGGGGGUGAAAGGCCAAUCAAACCGGGAGAUAGCUGGUUCUCCCCGAAAGCUAUUUAGGUAGCGCCUCGUGAAUUCAUCUCCGGGGGUAGAGCACUGUUUCGGCUAGGGGGCCAUCCCGGCUUACCAACCCGAUGCAAACUGCGAAUACCGGAGAAUGUUAUCACGGGAGACACACGGCGGGUGCUAACGUCCGUCGUGAAGAGGGAAACAACCCAGACCGCCAGCUAAGGUCCCAAAGUCAUGGUUAAGUGGGAAACGAUGUGGGAAGGCCCAGACAGCCAGGAUGUUGGCUUAGAAGCAGCCAUCAUUUAAAGAAAGCGUAAUAGCUCACUGGUCGAGUCGGCCUGCGCGGAAGAUGUAACGGGGCUAAACCAUGCACCGAAGCUGCGGCAGCGACACUAUGUGUUGUUGGGUAGGGGAGCGUUCUGUAAGCCUGCGAAGGUGGCCUGUGAGGGUUGCUGGAGGUAUCAGAAGUGCGAAUGCUGACAUAAGUAACGAUAAAGCGGGUGAAAAGCCCGCUCGCCGGAAGACCAAGGGUUCCUGUCCAACGUUAAUCGGGGCAGGGUGAGUCGACCCCUAAGGCGAGGCCGAAAGGCGUAGUCGAUGGGAAACGGGUUAAUAUUCCCGUACUUGGUGUUACUGCGAAGGGGGGACGGAGAAGGCUAUGUUGGCCGGGCGACGGUUGUCCCGGUUUAAGCGUGUAGGUGUGUGUUCCAGGUAAAUCCGGUUCACUUUAACACUGAGGCGUGACGACGAGGCACUACGGUGCUGAAGCAACAAAUGCCCUGCUUCCAGGAAAAGCCUCUAAGCAUCAGGUAACAUCAAAUCGUACCCCAAACCGACACAGGUGGUCAGGUAGAGAAUACCAAGGCGCUUGAGAGAACUCGGGUGAAGGAACUAGGCAAAAUGGUGCCGUAACUUCGGGAGAAGGCACGCUGACACGUAGGUGAAGUGAUUUACUCAUGGAGCUGAAGUCAGUCGAAGAUACCAGCUGGCUGCAACUGUUUAUUAAAAACACAGCACUGUGCAAACACGAAAGUGGACGUAUACGGUGUGACGCCUGCCCGGUGCCGGAAGGUUAAUUGAUGGGGUCAGCGCAAGCGAAGCUCCUGAUCGAAGCCCCGGUAAACGGCGGCCGUAACUAUAACGGUCCUAAGGUAGCGAAAUUCCUUGUCGGGUAAGUUCCGACCUGCACGAAUGGCGUAAUGAUGGCCAGGCUGUCUCCACCCGAGACUCAGUGAAAUUGAACUCGCUGUGAAGAUGCAGUGUACCCGCGGCAAGACGGAAAGACCCCGUGAACCUUUACUAUAGCUUGACACUGAACAUUGAGCCUUGAUGUGUAGGAUAGGUGGGAGGCUUUGAAGUGUGGACGCCAGUCUGCAUGGAGCCGGCCUUGAAAUACCACCCUUUAAUGUUUGAUGUUCUAACGUGGACCCGUGAUCCGGGUUGCGGACAGUGUCUGGUGGGUAGUUUGACUGGGGCGGUCUCCUCCUAAAGAGUAACGGAGGAGCACGAAGGUUGGCUAAUCCUGGUCGGACAUCAGGAGGUUAGUGCAAUGGCAUAAGCCAGCUUGACUGCGAGCGUGACGGCGCGAGCAGGUGCGAAAGCAGGUCAUAGUGAUCCGGUGGUUCUGAAUGGAAGGGCCAUCGCUCAACGGAUAAAAGGUACUCCGGGGAUAACAGGCUGAUACCGCCCAAGAGUUCAUAUCGACGGCGGUGUUUGGCACCUCGAUGUCGGCUCAUCACAUCCUGGGGCUGAAGUAGGUCCCAAGGGUAUGGCUGUUCGCCAUUUAAAGUGGUACGCGAGCUGGGUUUAGAACGUCGUGAGACAGUUCGGUCCCUAUCUGCCGUGGGCGCUGGAGAACUGAGGGGGGCUGCUCCUAGUACGAGAGGACCGGAGUGGACGCAUCACUGGUGUUCGGGUUGUCAUGCCAAUGGCACUGCCCGGUAGCUAAAUGCGGAAGAGAUAAGUGCUGAAAGCAUCUAAGCACGAAACUUGCCCCGAGAUGAGUUCUCCCUGAGACUUAGAGUCUCCUGAAGGAACGUUGAAGACGACGACGUUGAUAGGCCGGGUGUGUAAGCGCAGCGAUGCGUUGAGCUAACCGGUACUAAUGAACCGUGAGGCUUAACCUUACAACGCCGAAG